Molecule: ribosomal RNA, 508 nt
Filed under: uncultured bacterium
Lineage: Bacteria
Description: partial 16S ribosomal RNA
Rfam family: Bacterial small subunit ribosomal RNA
Source: RNAcentral
GAUGAACGCUAGCUACAGGCUUAACACAUGCAAGUCGAGGGGAAACGAUAUUAGAAGCUUGCUUCCGAUAGGCGUCGACCGGCGCACGGGUGAGUAACGCGUAUCCAACCUGCCCAUCACUUGGGGAUAACCUUGCGAAAGUAAGACUAAUACCCAAUGACGUCUCUAGAAGACAUCUGAAAGAGAAUAAAGAUUUAUCGGUGAUGGAUGGGGAUGCGUCUGAUUAGCUUGUUGGCGGGGUAACGGCCCACCAAGGCGACGAUCAGUAGGGGUUCUGAGAGGAAGGUCCCCCACAUUGGAACUGAGACACGGUCCAAACUCCUACGGGAGGCAGCAGUGAGGAAUAUUGGUCAAUGGGCGAGAGCCUGAACCAGCCAAGUAGCGUGCAGGAUGACGGCCCUAUGGGUUGUAAACUGCUUUUAUAAGGGAAUAAAGUGAGAGUCGUGACUCUUUUUGCAUGUACCUUAUGAAUAAGGACCGGCUAAUUCCGUGCCAGCAGCCGCGGUAA